GCUGUAUGCGUCAGCGCACCAGAGGAGCUCCUUAAGCCUGAGGAUUUUGAGGCCCCAGAUUCUUGCCUUCCACCUGCAGACAGGCCGAGGCACCACUUUGAGAAACAGUUCCCAAGGGUGAAGCUGCAAGCAAGGGCAGGAGGGCAUGUAGCUGAGGGACUCGCCGGAGGUCCCAGCUGGAGUCCCUGGAUUGAGUCGCCCCCUACCUCUUGUGCUUCCCCGAGGUGUUCCAGGGGCUCUUGGAGCGCCGCAUUGAAAUCGAUGUCCUCGCAAGUUUUCAAAAACAGCACCAUCUUAAACCAUCUAUGCAGAUGGCAGGCUGCAUCCUAUCAAUGAGACAUGAACUGGCUAACAAGUCCUGAUAAUGAUUUCUAUCUGUGCCAUGGAAAUGAGUUUACAAUCUUCUGAAAAACCCCACUUCUCAUCAGGAUAGUGAUUCUGUACUACUUUAGGUAAUUAUCUCCAGAAAUGGAUGACAUUAGAGCUAUCAGGAAAGACCACAUAGACCAACCAGGAAAAACCCAUCAUGGCUACUGGAAGAACGACUUCAAGUGAACAUCCUAUUACUGGUUAAAUAAUGUUGUCUUCGUAUACAGUAUCAUCUACAGAGUUUACAUUCAAAUAUAAUCUAUGUCAUCUACUGAAACAAACUGA
Macaca mulatta (Rhesus monkey) is the source of this 654-nucleotide non-coding RNA. The record is from RefSeq and is a predicted model, not a curated record. Lineage: Eukaryota; Metazoa; Chordata; Mammalia; Primates; Cercopithecidae.